RNAcentral lists this ribosomal RNA (539 nucleotides) under Vibrio cholerae. Its description in RNAcentral is "partial 23S ribosomal RNA". It matches the Rfam family "Bacterial large subunit ribosomal RNA", at positions 254 to 798 of the family's 2925-position model. The record is from RNAcentral. Lineage: Bacteria; Pseudomonadati; Pseudomonadota; Gammaproteobacteria; Vibrionales; Vibrionaceae.
CGAAAGGGAAAGAGCCCAAACCAUUGAAUUUAUUCAGUGGGGUUGUAGGACUACGAUGUGAGACAGAGAGGUAUAGUUGAAGUCUUUGGGAAAAGACGCCAGAGAGGGUGAGAGCCCCGUAAGCGAAAUAGCUCGAAGCUCUAGUAGUAUCCUGAGUAGGCCGGGACACGAGGAAUCCCGGUUGAAGCAGCGAGGACCAUCUCGCAAGGCUAAAUACUAACUAGUGACCGAUAGUGAACCAGUACCGUGAGGGAAAGGUGAAAAGAACCCCGGAAGGGGAGUGAAAGAGAACCUGAAACCGUGUGCCUACAAGUAGUCAAAGCACAUUAAAGUGUAAUGGCGUGCCUUUUGUAGAAUGAACCGGCGAGUUACGUUAAGUAGCGAGGUUAAGACAGAAAAGUCGGAGCCGAAGCGAAAGCGAGUCUGAAUAGGGCGAGCAGUUACUUGACGUAGACCCGAAACCAAGUGACCUACCCAUGUCCAGGUUGAAGGCUAGGUAAAACUGGCUGGAGGACCGAACCCACGUAAGUUAAAAAUUG